CUACGGGAGGCAGCAGUAGGGAAUUUUGCGCAAUGGGGGAAACCCUGACGCAGCGACGCCGCGUGAGUGAAUAAGGCCUUCGGGUUGUAAAGCUCUGUCAGAAGGGAAGAAUAAGUGGAGUCAAAUAGGCUUACACGAUGACGGUACCUUCAGAGGAAGCACCGGCUAACUCUGUGCCAGCAGCCGCGGUAAUACAGAGGGUGCAAGCGUUAUUCGGAAUUACUGGGCGUAAAGCGCACGUAGGUGGAAUAUCAUGUCAGGUGUGAAAUCCCGGAGCUCAACUCCGGAACUGCAUUUGAAACUGAUAUUCUUGAGUUUGGAAGAGGAAGGCGGAAUUCCUGGUGUAGAGGUGAAAUUCGUAGAUAUCAGGAGGAACAUCGGAGGCGAAGGCGGCUUUCUGGUCCAAAACUGACACUGAGGUGCGAAAGCGUGGGGAGCAAACAGGAUUAGAUACCCCCGUAGUC
This 464-nucleotide ribosomal RNA is filed under the name uncultured bacterium. RNAcentral's name for it is "partial 16S ribosomal RNA". It matches the Rfam family "Bacterial small subunit ribosomal RNA", at positions 339 to 795 of the family's 1533-position model. The record is from RNAcentral.